ACGUAGGUGGCAAGCGUUAUCCGGAUUUAUUGGGCGUAAAGCGAGCGCAGGCGGUUUUUUAAGUCUGAUGUGAAAGCCCUCGGCUUAACCGAGGAAGUGCAUCGGAAACUGGGAAACUUGAAUGCUGAAGAGGACAGUGGAACUCCAUGUGUAGCGGUGAAAUGCGUAGAUAUAUGGAAGAACACCAGUGGCGAAGGCGGCUGUCUGGUCAGUUAUUGACGCUGAGGCUCGAAAGCAUGGGUAGCGAACAG
Molecule: ribosomal RNA, 251 nt
Filed under: uncultured bacterium
Lineage: Bacteria
Description: partial 16S ribosomal RNA
Rfam family: Bacterial small subunit ribosomal RNA
Source: RNAcentral